UCGAGCGAACGUAUUAGCGGAAGUUUUCGGAUGGAAGCGGAUAUGACUUAGCGGCGGACGGGUGAGUAACGCGUGGAUAACCUGCCUCAUACAGGGGGAUAACAGUUAGAAAUGACUGCUAAUACCGCAUAAGCGCACAGGACCGCAUGGUCCGGUGUGAAAAACUCCGGUGGUAUGGGAUGGAUCCGCGUCUGAUUAGCUGGUUGGUGAGGUAACGGCCCACCAAGGCGACGAUGCGUAGCCGACCUGAGAGGGUGAUCGGCCACAUUGGGACUGAGAUACGGCCCAGACUCCUACGGGAGGCAGCAGUGGGGAAUAUUGGGCAAUGGAGGAAACUCUGACCCAGCAAUGCCGCGUGAAUGAAGAAGGUCUUCGGAUUGUAAAGUUCUUUAGUCAGGGAAGAAGUCAAUGACGGUACCUGAAGAAUAAGCUCCGGCUAACUACGUGCCAGCAGCCGCGGUAAUACGUAGGGAGCAAGCGUUGUUCGGAAUGACUAGGCGUAAAGGGUGCGUAGGCGGUUGUACAAGUUAGAAGUGAAAUACCCAGGGCUUAACUCGGGUGCUGCUUCUAAAACUGUAUGACUUGAGUGCAGGAGAGGUAAGCGGAAUUCCUAGUGUAGCGGUGAAAUGCGUAGAUAUUAGGAGGAACACCAGUGGCGAAGGCGGCUUACUGGACUGUAACUGACGUUGAGGCUCGAAAGCGUGGGGAGCAAACAGGAUUAGAUACCCUGGUAGUCCACGCCGUAAACGAUGAUUACUAGGUGUCGGUGGGUAUGGACCCAUCGGUGCCGCAGCAAACGCAGUAAGUAAUCCACCUGGGGAGUACGUUCGCAAGAAUGAAAC
This 842-nucleotide ribosomal RNA is filed under the name uncultured bacterium. Its description in RNAcentral is "bacterial SSU rRNA". It matches the Rfam family "Bacterial small subunit ribosomal RNA", at positions 62 to 900 of the family's 1533-position model. The record is from RNAcentral.